Molecule: long non-coding RNA, 266 nt
Filed under: Carica papaya (papaya)
Lineage: Eukaryota; Viridiplantae; Streptophyta; Magnoliopsida; Brassicales; Caricaceae
Description: long non-coding RNA (CPAP_LNC006816)
Source: RNAcentral
AAGGACCACGUGGGCGAUCCGCGUGCGCGCGAUCAGACGGCCCAGAUGCGUCCCCGCGCGCACGGACGGCCCAGAUCAAGCGUGCGCACGGACGACCCAGAUGCAAUCGCACGGACAGCCCAGAUGCACGCGCACGGACGGCCCAGAUUCAAUCAAAAACAGACGGUCUAGAUUUAAUCAAAAUGGACGGCUGAUAUCAAAAGGCAAAAGGGUAUGAAUAGAACCCCCACACCUGACCACAAAAACCCUAGCCGCUUGCCCUCGCC